CCUAGGUCGAAAGUUUUGGCAGUGCCCAAAUAAUGGGGACAAUGGAGGUUGUGGAUAUAUGGAGUGGUUUGAUCCUCCAAUAUGUAAGAGGGCAAAUAAAAUAUAAUUAUCCCAGAAUUACUAAAAUGAUUAAACUAACAAUAAGAAGAAAUUAGUAGACUUGAGAUGAAUUGAAGCUUAAAUAUGGGGAGGCAAGAGUUGACAAUGAAGCUCAUUGGAAGUUUAAGUGCAGUAAAAGCCUAUAUCUAGUUUUAGUAAUAGUUGUGUAAGGUAUUGUGUUGUUUAAAAUUUCAAAAAAAAAAAUAUGGUGAAGUCAGUUUGAUGCAAUUAAUGUAAUCGAAAUGUUUGUAGUUUUAGCUUUU
Ipomoea nil (Japanese morning glory) is the source of this 362-nucleotide long non-coding RNA. RefSeq lists it as uncharacterized. The transcript has 2 exons. The record is from RefSeq and is a predicted model, not a curated record. Lineage: Eukaryota; Viridiplantae; Streptophyta; Magnoliopsida; Solanales; Convolvulaceae.